This 459-nucleotide ribosomal RNA is filed under the name uncultured Spirochaeta sp. Its description in RNAcentral is "bacterial SSU rRNA". It matches the Rfam family "Bacterial small subunit ribosomal RNA", at positions 920 to 1382 of the family's 1533-position model. Lineage: Bacteria; Pseudomonadati; Spirochaetota; Spirochaetia; Spirochaetales; Spirochaetaceae. The record is from RNAcentral.
CCCGCACAAGCGGUGGAGCAUGUGGUUUAAUCGAUGGUACGCGAGAAACCUUACCAGGGCUUGACAUACGCUGGAAGCGGUCCGAAAGGAUCGUGCCGCUUGCGGCCGGCGUACAGGUGCUGCAUGGCUGUCGUCAGCUCGUGCUGUGAAGUGUUGGGUUAAGUCCCGCAACGAGCGCAACCCCUGCUGUCUGUUGCCACCACGAGAGGUGGGGACUCAGGCGGAACUGCCGGUGACAAACCGGAGGAAGUGGGGACGACGUCAAGUCAUCAUGGCCCUUAUGUCCUGGGCUACACACGUGCUACAAUGGCCGGUACAGAGCGCAGCGAGGCCGCGAGGCGGAGCGAAUCGCUUAAAGCCGGUCCCAGUACGGAUUGGAGUCUGCAACCCGACUCCAUGAAGUUGGAAUCGCUAGUAAUCGCGCAUCAGCAUGGCGCGGUGAAUACGUUCCCGGGCCUU